This 777-nucleotide ribosomal RNA is filed under the name uncultured Neocallimastigales. RNAcentral describes it as "partial large subunit ribosomal RNA". It matches the Rfam family "Eukaryotic large subunit ribosomal RNA", at positions 26 to 644 of the family's 3401-position model. The record is from RNAcentral. Lineage: Eukaryota; Fungi; Neocallimastigomycota; Neocallimastigomycetes; Neocallimastigales.
CGUCUAUAUACGUAUAGCAUAUCAAUAAGCGGAGGAAAAGAAACUAACUAGGAUUCCCUCAGUAACGGCGAGUGAAGCGGGAAGAGCUCAAAUUUGAAAUCUUCAAGGUUCUACCUUGACGAAUUGUAGUUUAUAGAAGUGUUUUCUGUUAGUGGAGUGGCAAAAGUUCUUUGGAAUAGGACAUCAUAGAGGGUGAGAAUCCCGUAUUUGGUCAUUCCUCCUAGCGUUGUGAUACACUUUCAACGAGUCGGAUUGUUUGGGAAUGCAGUCCAAAAUGGGUGGUAAAUUUCAUCUAAAGCUAAAUAUUGGCGAGAGACCGAUAGCGAACAAGUACCGUGAGGGAAAGAUGAAAAGAACUUUGAAAAGAGAGUUAAACAGUACGUGAAAUUGUCAAAAGGGAAGCGUUUGACACCAGUGUUGUUUUUUCCGAAAAUCAAUUACGAAUGUUUUAUUUUUGAGGAGUUAUGACUUCAUCGGCUUGCUCCUUUCUUUACGAAACUUUCUUAAUGCACUUUUCGGUUAACAAGUCAACAUCAAUUUCUUUUGUUGUAAAAGGGUAUGAGGAAGGUGGCUUUCUUUUCGGAGAAAGUGUUUAUAGCCUUGUGCCUCUAGCAAUCGGAGAGAUUGAGGUCUGCAGCGUAGAUCCUUCGGGGUUAGAUACGUUUGUGCUAAGUUAUAGCUUUUCAUAGACAACUUGUUGACUAUGUUUAGUCUUGUAGCUUACUCGCUUACUGCUAUUUUACCUACGCUUAGGAUGUUGACUGAUAUGUAGUCGUA